This is a long non-coding RNA of Oncorhynchus tshawytscha (Chinook salmon), 1605 nucleotides long. NCBI's taxonomy places the organism in Eukaryota, Metazoa, Chordata, Actinopteri, Salmoniformes, Salmonidae. The record is from Ensembl.
AUAUAUAUACACACACACACACACACACACACACACAUACCUUAAAGAGUGUACAGAAGUAUACAUAGAUUUAAAUAUAGUCAAAGUUAUGAGUGAUGUCAUAACGCUAUGUGCCGAUGCAUUGUAAAAGAGAAAUACACAUUCUGUUAAACUGUAAAGGCUGGCUGUAAAGUUCAAGCCUUACUAAGUCAGUAAAGUUAUAUAUUAGAACAAUAACCAUCUACUAUAGUUAUUCAUUAACCCAUAGUCAAUGGCUUUCAAAGUAUAUUUUUAAAAAACAAACCCAUAUUUCAUGCGAGAAACAUGUAUUAUGUCAGUGCAGGAACACAGAAGAGACAAUUGUACUUGGAUAUCUUAGUAUAUUAACUGACAGAAAGCAGAAUUGUAAAGCUAUAUUGUUUCAUUUGCGUGAUGUCUCUCUUCCCCAUGACAGCUGCAAAGAUGGUGGCUUAAUUAAGAUAGUUCACUCAGGCUGUUGACCGUUGAAUAAAAUGGUAUCCAGCUCACAGUUGAACACGUGAGAGUUUUGUUCAAUAGCAUCCAUCCUUGUUUGCUGAUAUUACUAAGAUCCUAAAACACAGAUAUCUGUCAAUGACAGGCUUUAAGGAGUAGGCUUCAUAUACAUUCAAUAUUCUGAAGCAUAGCCAGCAACACCUACAGGACUAAAACAGUCAAAUGCACAUACUCUCUCUUUCUCCAUCUUUCUGAGUGUUUGUCGCUCACAAAACCAACAUUUUCCUCCAAACCAACUGAUUAUUGAGUUGAGCUCUAGGCCUUUUCAAACAGGAAACCUAACAGAGACAAAAUGCUAUACAGAAUAUCAAACAAAGAAUCGCAAUACAAUCAAUUCUAGACAACACAGUCAACCUAUAAUAGCCUAGUUUGCUUCAAGUUUUCAAGCUUUUAUGGAAUAGGUUUCGACUGGACUAGACCUCAAAGCAAUUAAGAGAGAGAGAAGUCAUAUUUCAGUUUGGAGAGUGUUGAACUGUCAGAGAAAGAGAAGUUAUGCUUGUUUGAUUCAUAAACUCACAGAGAAGCUCAUUACAUCCAGUGGUAUGACAGAGGCAGAACAUUCAAACAAGUCAGUCAACAUUAUAAACAAUCCUAAAUGACUGUCUAAUACCAGUCUCAUUCAUCCUGUAACUAAUUAACAGAUGACCACAGAAGUGCUGAUAAAAACACUAGUUCUCACCAUUUUUGGAGUCAUCCACUUCCUUACAGCUGGCCAAUCAUAAUUUAGUCAUCCAUUGUAAUCAUUCAUUCAUGAAUCAAUCAUUCACUAAUUCAUUCAUUAUUUGUAAACCUUGUCAUAGCAAUGUCCAGUGUUAUAGUUCUGACUGGGGUGUAAUGUCCAGUGUUAUAGUCCUGACUGUGGUGUAAUGUCCAGUAUUAUAGUCCUGACUGUGGUGUAAUGUCCAGUGUUAUAGUUCUGACUGUGGUGUAAUGUCCAGUAUUAUAGUCCUGACUGUGGUGUAAUGUCCAGUAUUAUAGUCCUGACUGUGGUGUAAUGUCCAGUAUUAUAAUGUCCAGUAUUAUAGGUCUGACUGUGGUGUAAUGUUCAGUGUCUUUACAUUUCAGUGAAGAUUCAUAAUACCACCUAAUAAC